RNAcentral lists this unclassified non-coding RNA (391 nucleotides) under soil metagenome. Its description in RNAcentral is "partial contains 5.8S ribosomal RNA, internal transcribed spacer 2, and large subunit ribosomal RNA". The stretch from base 1 to 122 matches the Rfam family "5.8S ribosomal RNA", at positions 35 to 154 of the family's 154-position model. The record is from RNAcentral.
GAUGAAGAACGCAGCGAAAUGCGAUACUUGGUGUGAAUUGCAGAAUCCCGUGAACCAUCGAGUCUUUGAACGCAAGUUGCGCCCGAAGCCAUUAGGCCGAGGGCACGCCUGCCUGGGCGUCACACGUCGUUGCCCCCCCAUCUACUCCUUCGGGAUUGCGGGGGGCGGAUGAUGGCCUCCCGUGCGCCUCGUCGCGCGGUUGGCAUAAAUGCCAAGUCCUCGGCGACACACGCCACGACAAUCGGUGGUUGCGAAACCUCGGUUGCCCGUCGUGUGCGGUCGUCGCGCAUCGAGGGCUCGAAAAAAUUGCCGGGCUCCGGCUCGGCUUUCAACGCGACCCAAGGUCAGGCGGGGUUACCCGCUGAAUUUAAGCAUAUCAAUAAGCGGAGGA